Molecule: unclassified non-coding RNA, 400 nt
Filed under: uncultured fungus
Lineage: Eukaryota; Fungi
Description: sequence contains ITS1
Source: RNAcentral
ACCCGUCAAUUCCUUUAAGUUUCACACUUGCGUGCGUACUCCCCAGGCGGAACACUUAACGCGUUGGCUACGACACCGAGGGGGUCGAUUCCCCCGACACCUAGUGUUCAUCGUUUACGGCCAGGACUACAGGGGUAUCUAAUCCCUUUCGCUCCCCUGGCUUUCGUCCAUGAGCGUCAGUUAUGGCCCAGCAGAGCGCUUUCGCCACUGGUGUUCUUCCCGAUAUCUACGCAUUUCACCGCUACACCGGGAAUUCCCUCUGCCCCUACCACACUCGAGUCUUACAGUUUCCAUCGCUGAAAUGGAGUUGAGCUCCACGCUUUAACGACAGACUUGUAAAACCGCCUGCGGACGCUUUACGCCCAAUAAUUCCGGAUAACGCUUGCCACUCCCGUAUUAC